Molecule: long non-coding RNA, 392 nt
Filed under: Hordeum vulgare
Lineage: Eukaryota; Viridiplantae; Streptophyta; Magnoliopsida; Poales; Poaceae
Description: long non-coding RNA (HVUL_LNC009453)
Source: RNAcentral
UAGCAUCGACCAGAGUAAUCAACAAAGCCCGGUCCAUAAAGGGGUAACGUGGUCGCACAUGUAAAGUUGGGACGGUCGACACAUCAUAAAUUUAUUUCCAUUUCCGAAACCACUCACACCAAAAUACCCGGUGCACCACUUCACCAAAAGUGGUCACCUAACUCAUCAUCACCCUCGGGCAUUAGCGGCACCUGAAGGGGUUUUCAUAAACCUUUGAUAUAUACCAUCCUCAUGCUCAUGCUUCCAUUAUGUUUAGCUCUACUUGUCAACAUGGUAUUAGCGUGACCCUCAUAGGUGGUAAGAUCAUGCUCAAAAUGCAAAUGCUCCGAAGAAGCCAUUGGUAACAUCACUUCAAUGAUUUACCAAAUCUUUUAUGAUCACAUGCAACGAAA